GGUUCCAUAGCUCAGUCUGGUUAGAGCACUGGACUCUUAAUCCAGGUGUCGGGGGUUCAAAUCCCCCUGGGACCA
This 75-nucleotide transfer RNA is filed under the name Candidatus Pacearchaeota archaeon. Its description in RNAcentral is "tRNA-Lys". It matches the Rfam family "tRNA". Rfam says of the family: Transfer RNA (tRNA) molecules are approximately 80 nucleotides in length. Their secondary structure includes four short double-helical elements and three loops (D, anti-codon, and T loops). The record is from RNAcentral. Lineage: Archaea; Nanobdellati.